GUAAGGAAUAUUGGUCAAUGGAGGCAACUCUGAACCAGCCAUGCCGCGUGCAGGAAGACGGCCCUCUGGGUUGUAAACUGCUUUUAUCCGGGAAUAAACCUGCCUUCGUGAAGGUAGCUGAAUGUACCGGAAGAAUAAGGAUCGGCUAACUCCGUGCCAGCAGCCGCGGUAAUACGGAGGAUCCAAGCGUUAUCCGGAUUUAUUGGGUUUAAAGGGUGCGUAGGCGGCCUGUUAAGUCAGGGGUGAAAGACGGUGGCUCAACCAUCGCAGUGCCCUUGAUACUGAUGGGCUUGAAUGGACUAGAGGUAGGCGGAAUGUGACAAGUAGCGGUGAAAUGCAUAGAUAUGUCACAGAACACCGAUUGCGAAGGCAGCUUACUAUGGUCCUAUUGACGCUGAGGCACGAAAGCGUGGGGAUCGAACAGGAUUAGAUACCCUAGUAGUCC
Molecule: ribosomal RNA, 445 nt
Filed under: uncultured bacterium
Lineage: Bacteria
Description: partial 16S ribosomal RNA
Rfam family: Bacterial small subunit ribosomal RNA
Source: RNAcentral